UACGGAGGGCGCAAGCGUUAAUCGGAUUUACUGGGCGUAAAGGGCGCGUAGGCGGCCAGGCAAGUGGGAUGUGAAAGCCCCGGGCUCAACCUGGGAAUGGCAUCCCAAACUGUCCGGCUCGAGUACAGUAGAGGGGGGUAGAAUUCCCGGUGUAGCGGUGAAAUGCGUAGAGAUCGGGAGGAAUACCAGUGGCGAAGGCGGCCCCCUGGACUGAUACUGACGCUGAGGCGCGAAAGCGUGGGGAGCAAACAGG
This 253-nucleotide unclassified non-coding RNA is filed under the name uncultured Gammaproteobacteria bacterium. RNAcentral describes it as "contains 16S-23S intergenic spacer region". It matches the Rfam family "Bacterial small subunit ribosomal RNA", at positions 524 to 776 of the family's 1533-position model. Lineage: Bacteria; Pseudomonadati; Pseudomonadota; Gammaproteobacteria. The record is from RNAcentral.